GAUGAACGCUGGCGGCGUGCCUAAUACAUGCAAGUCGAGCGAACGGACGAGAGGCUUGCUUCUCUGAUGUUAGCGGCGGACGGGUGAGUAACACGUGGAUAACCUACCUAUAAGGCUGGGAUAACUUCGGGAAACCGGAGCUAAUACCGGAUAAUAUUUUGAACCGCAUGGUUCAAAAGUGAAAGACGGUCUUGCUGUCACUUAUAGAUGGAUCCGCGCUGCAUUAGCUAGUUGGUAAGGUAACGGCUUACCAAGGCAACGAUGCAUAGCCGACCUGAGAGGGUGAUCGGCCACACUGGAACUGAGACACGGUCCAGACUCCUACGGGAGGCAGCAGUAGGGAAUCUUCCGCAAUGGGCGAAAGCCUGACGGAGCAACGCCGCGUGAGUGAUGAAGGUCUUCGGAUCGUAAAACUCUGUUAUUAGGGAAGAACAUAUGUGUAAGUAACUGUGCACAUCUUGACGGUACCUAAUCAGAAAGCCACGGCUAACUACGUG
This 497-nucleotide ribosomal RNA is filed under the name uncultured bacterium. RNAcentral describes it as "partial 16S ribosomal RNA". It matches the Rfam family "Bacterial small subunit ribosomal RNA", at positions 28 to 507 of the family's 1533-position model. The record is from RNAcentral.